Long non-coding RNA from Cavia porcellus (domestic guinea pig), 713 nucleotides. RefSeq lists it as uncharacterized. NCBI's taxonomy places the organism in Eukaryota, Metazoa, Chordata, Mammalia, Rodentia, Caviidae. The record is from RefSeq and is a predicted model, not a curated record. The transcript has 5 exons.
AGUGUAUACGGGGAAGAGGGCGGGGCCAGGCUCCGCUCCGACAACCAUUGGAGCGCCUCGUGCUGGGCGGGCCUAAAACUACAUUUCCCAAGGAUCACAGCAGGCACUAACCGGAAGGGGCGGCCUCAAAUCCAUUGCGCACGCGCACCAGGAGUCUGUCCUUAUAUAAGAGAGGUUCAGGCCUGUAGUCGGCCUUUCCCAUCUGCUGCGCUCUGAGGCUGAGGUCACCUCUGUUGUGCUUCAGAGAUUGUGGUUCCCGCCUCGUGAACCCACGUUGUGUGUACGGUUGUCGAAGUCAGGGAGUAUAGCAUGGAUGUGAGAGAACGGAGUCACCUCUGGGCCUAUGAGAGAUUCCGAUUUAGAUCUCUCCAACCUUGGAUCUCUUGACCUACGCGGUUUGCUAAGGCAUAAACCAGCCUUUGAAUGGAGCAGGAUGAAUUCUGAGCAUGGGAAAGGAUUGGUCUCAAGCUCUUAAGGCUGCAGUUUGUUGUCAGCUUGAUCUUUGGGGUGGUUCUCUGUCCUGUAAGAGAAGUCUCCUGAGCUGUGGAUGCAGUGGGAGUACAAGGCCUCUUGAAUAUCAGUGGUGUUCCUGAGCCACAAGGCUUUUGAGUAUUUGGCUUUCCAGAGUGCUGUGCCUGUUUCUUUGAAGAUUCAAAGAAUUUCUAAUUUUGUAACAACUUGCCUACUUUGGAAAAAUAAAAUUCUUGAAAUCA